AUGGCAGCCGCAGCGGCGGGUGAGAACAAGAGGUUAAAUGGGGUGAGAAAGAAGGGGGGUGACAAGUUCGCCGCAGCUAUCAAGCACCCGGUGACGAAGACGUUGUUGUGGCUGGGGACGUACCACUCCCCUGAGGUCGCCGCGUGCGCCUAUGACCUCGCGGCUAGGGAGCUGAAGGGCACAAAGGCAAAGCUCAACUUGCCCUACCCUCCGCCUGUCAAACUGGUAAUGGAGGUGAUUGCUGCACCGAGGCACCGCAGCCACGAACACGACGCACCGCUCUUUCAGGUCGUUACGUUGCCACCGGACCCCAUAGCACCGCCUCCACCGCCGCCCAAGGGAAAAAAAUCUUAUACGACAUGGGUCGUAUGCCCUCUGUCGUGA
This 384-nucleotide ribosomal RNA is filed under the name Triticum aestivum (bread wheat). RNAcentral describes it as "partial small subunit ribosomal RNA". Lineage: Eukaryota; Viridiplantae; Streptophyta; Magnoliopsida; Poales; Poaceae. The record is from RNAcentral.